UCACUUACCUGGACGGGGUCAAUGGGUGAUCAAGAAGGUCCAUGGCCUAGGUUGGUGACUUCCAUUGCACUUAGGAGGGGUGCCUGCCUAAGGUCGGCCCAAGUGGUCGAGCCUACGUCAUAAUUUGUGGCAGUGGAGGCCUGCGUUCGCGCGGCCUCUGC
Molecule: small nuclear RNA, 161 nt
Filed under: Helianthus annuus (common sunflower)
Lineage: Eukaryota; Viridiplantae; Streptophyta; Magnoliopsida; Asterales; Asteraceae
Description: U1 spliceosomal RNA
Rfam family: U1 spliceosomal RNA
About the family: U1 is a small nuclear RNA (snRNA) component of the spliceosome (involved in pre-mRNA splicing). Its 5' end forms complementary base pairs with the 5' splice junction, thus defining the 5' donor site of an intron. There are significant differences in sequence and secondary structure between metazoan and yeast U1 snRNAs, the latter being much longer (568 nucleotides as compared to 164 nucleotides in human).
Source: RNAcentral